AUAAGUGUUGUUGAUAAAAUAUAUGGAUUCAAAAUCUUUUUCAAAAGUUCUGUGUGCCCUUGAAUGAUAAAAAUAUGAAGUAUGUGAACAGAAUAUAGCUGUUCUGCUUCACAUACUGUAAAGGCGAUGCAAUUUUGACUAGUGUAAAGAUUUGCAUAAAACAAAAUAAGACAGAGGAAGUAAUUUCAAUCAAAAGUUUCGUACACUAAUUUGUCUGAAGUAUCUAACAAGCUAUCUUGCUUAAUUGUGAAUACUAAAUUCAAGUUUAACUAGACCAC
RNAcentral lists this long non-coding RNA (278 nucleotides) under Nicotiana benthamiana. RNAcentral's name for it is "long non-coding RNA (NBEN_LNC033487)". The record is from RNAcentral. Lineage: Eukaryota; Viridiplantae; Streptophyta; Magnoliopsida; Solanales; Solanaceae.